UCCUUGGUGGUCCAGUGGUUAAGACCCCGCACUCCGACUGCAGUGGGCAUGGGUUCGAUCCCCGGUCAGGGAA
Balaenoptera ricei (Rice's whale) is the source of this 73-nucleotide non-coding RNA. The record is from the annotation of a RefSeq genome assembly. NCBI's taxonomy places the organism in Eukaryota, Metazoa, Chordata, Mammalia, Artiodactyla, Balaenopteridae.